Molecule: ribosomal RNA, 441 nt
Filed under: uncultured bacterium
Lineage: Bacteria
Description: partial 16S ribosomal RNA
Rfam family: Bacterial small subunit ribosomal RNA
Source: RNAcentral
CCUACGGGAGGCAGCAGUGGGGGAUAUUGCACAAUGGGGGGAACCCUGAUGCAGCGACGCCGCGUGGGUGAAGGAGUGCUUCGGCAUGUAAAGCCCUAUCGGCAGGGAAGAAGCAAGACGGUACCUGACUAAGAAGCCCCGGCUAACUACGUGCCAGCAGCCGCGGUAAUACGUAGGGGGCGAGCGUUAUCCGGAUUCACUGGGUGGAAAGGGAGCGUAGACGGCCAAGCAAGCCAGGGGUGAAAGCCCGGGGCCCAACCCCGGGACUGCCCUUGGAACUGCAUGGCUGGAGUGCGGGAGGGGCAGGCGGAAUGCCUGGUGUAGCGGUGAAAUGCGUAGAUAUCAGGAGGAACACCGGCGGCGAAGGCGGCCUGCUGGACCGCGACUGACGUUGAGGCUCGAAAGCGUGGGGAGCGAACAGGAUUAGAUACCCCGGUAGUC